Molecule: ribosomal RNA, 190 nt
Filed under: uncultured bacterium
Lineage: Bacteria
Description: partial 16S ribosomal RNA
Rfam family: Bacterial small subunit ribosomal RNA
Source: RNAcentral
GGCUGAAACCCGCCUCCAUGAAGUUGGAUUCGCUAGUAAUCGCGCAUCAGCCAUGGCGCGGUGAAUACGUUCCCGGGCCUUGUACACACCGCCCGUCAAGCCAUGGGAGCCGGGGGUGCCUGAAGUUCGUGACCGCAAGGAGCGACCUAGGGCAAAACCGGUGACUGGGGCUAAGUCGUAACAAGGUACC